AAUCAUUACGUCAAAUAAUAGUUGACUAUUAUGUCUGCCACCUUUCUGCAUGGCAUUAAUGAGGAUGAGACUCAAAUGACCGGCGGUGGCAAAUAGUGGUAGCAGGUGAGGAAGUAGGCUACAUACUUUCGGCUGAAAUGACCGGGAGUGGGGGAAAGGUGUCAGGAGGUGAUGGGUGGCACGGUAAACCAGGAUUGGAGUACGUAUGGGGCUAGGAUCACACAAAAGAGGUAAGUAACAAAAUAUUACACACACAAUCAUAUGAUUAUUUUCUCUCAAGCACUAGACAUUAUUUUUCCUCCAUUGUUAACCUUGUGAUCGCCGAUAUUGACUCUCACGUCGGAGCUAUCCCCCGACGGUCAAGUCGUCAAGCUUUUGGUGUUGACUUGUUGAACUGUGCAGGAUAUCGGACGCGUCUUGGUGAUUGGGACAUGAAGAAAGAUCUUGGUGUUAACAGAGUGCAAAUAGCCUCCCAUGGACGGUGGUCCAGCCCAAAACACUUGGGUCUUGGUUCACCAAAGCUUCCACUAUUUCAAGCUCCCCAUUUUGAACAGCACUGAACAGAACAUGCUCACGGCAGGCCUCUCCGCAGCUCAGCCCCUGACCCAUCCCUCUUCUAUAUGAUCUCUUCUAAGCAUAAAUUAAUUAAGAGGUCAGUUGGCAUCCAACUGUUCCUCACCCGCCACCUUCCACGGCGUAGUGGCGGUGGUGGUGGAGGAAGUUUGGUGGCGAUGGGUAUUACUCUACUAAGGAAGGAGGAGGGAUGGGGCAGCCGGUAAGGGGAUUUGGUUUUAAAAUAUAAACUAAAGUAGAAGUCUAGCGUCGUACGGAGCAAAUGAAGUUGGUUGCCU
This 851-nucleotide long non-coding RNA is filed under the name Panax ginseng (ginseng). RNAcentral describes it as "long non-coding RNA (PGIN_LNC015776)". The record is from RNAcentral. Lineage: Eukaryota; Viridiplantae; Streptophyta; Magnoliopsida; Apiales; Araliaceae.